Molecule: ribosomal RNA, 517 nt
Filed under: Pleiochaeta setosa
Lineage: Eukaryota; Fungi; Ascomycota; Dothideomycetes; Pleosporales
Description: eukaryotic LSU rRNA
Rfam family: 5.8S ribosomal RNA (bases 158-311)
Source: RNAcentral
CUGCGGAAGGAUCAUUACUGAGAGUACCAGGCUCUGCUUGGUUACUUUUACCCAUGUUUUUUAGUACCAAAAGUUUCCUCGGCGGCUCUGCCCGCCGGUCGGACUCCAUUCAAACCCUUUGUAGUUGCAGUCAGCGUCUGAAAAACUUAAUAAUUACAACUUUCAACAACGGAUCUCUUGGUUCUGGCAUCGAUGAAGAACGCAGCGAAAUGCGAUAAGUAGUGUGAAUUGCAGAAUUCAGUGAAUCAUCGAAUCUUUGAACGCACAUUGCACCUCUCGGUAUUCCGGGAGGUAUGCCUGUUCGAGCGUCAUUUGUACCUUCAAGCUUUGCUUGGUGUUGGGUGUUUGUUCCGCCUUUGCGUGUGAACUCGCCUUAAAACAAUUGGCAGCCGGCGUACUUGUUUCGGAGCGCAGCACAUUUUUGCGUUUUGAUCAGUGUACACUGGCAUCCAAGAAGCCUUUUUUAAGCUCUUGACCUCGGAUCAGGUAGGGAUACCCGCUGAACUUAAGCAUAUCA